Molecule: ribosomal RNA, 442 nt
Filed under: uncultured bacterium
Lineage: Bacteria
Description: partial 16S ribosomal RNA
Rfam family: Bacterial small subunit ribosomal RNA
Source: RNAcentral
CCUACGGGUGGCAGCAGUAGGGAAUCUUUCACAAUGGGCGAAAGCCUGAUGGAGCAACACCGCGUGCAGGAUGAAGGCCUUCGGGUUGUAAACUGCUUUUAUAAGCGAGAAAUAUGAUGGUAACUUAUGAAUAAGGAUCGGCUAACUACGUGCCAGCAGCCGCGGUCAUACGUAGGAUCCGAGCAUUAUCCGGAGUGACUGGGUGUAAAGAGUUGCGUAGGUGGCAUAAUAAGUAGCUAGUGAAAUCUGGUGGCUCAACCAUUCAGACUAUUAGCUAAACUGUUAAGCUCGAGACCGUUAGGGGUAACUGGAAUUUCUGGUGUAGGAGUGAAAUCCGUAGAUAUUAGGAGGAACACCAAUGGCGUAGGCAGGUUGCUGGGACGGUUCUGACACUGAGGCACGAAAGCGUAGGGAGCAAACAGGAUUAGAUACCCCUGUAGUC